Molecule: ribosomal RNA, 371 nt
Filed under: uncultured organism
Description: partial 16S ribosomal RNA
Rfam family: Bacterial small subunit ribosomal RNA
Source: RNAcentral
GUAGGUGGCAAGCGUUGUCCGGAAUUAUUGGGCGUAAAGCGCGCGCAGGCGGUUCUUUAAGUCUGAUGUGAAAGCCCACGGCUCAACCGUGGAGGGUCAUUGGAAACUGGAGAACUUGAGUACAGAAGAGGAAAGCGGAAUUCCACGUGUAGCGGUGAAAUGCGUAGAGAUGUGGAGGAACACCAGUGGCGAAGGCGGCUUUCUGGUCUGUAACUGACGCUGAGGCGCGAAAGCGUGGGGAGCAAACAGGAUUAGAUACCCUGGUAGUCCACGCCGUAAAUGAUGAGUGCUAAGUGUUAGGGGGUUUUCCGCCCCUUAGUGCUGCAGCUAACGCAUUAAGCACUCCGCCUGGGAGUACGACCGCAAGGUUG